This is a long non-coding RNA of Oreochromis niloticus (Nile tilapia), 260 nucleotides long. RefSeq lists it as uncharacterized. Lineage: Eukaryota; Metazoa; Chordata; Actinopteri; Cichliformes; Cichlidae. The transcript has 3 exons. The record is from RefSeq and is a predicted model, not a curated record.
CAGAGUUAGAAAAUAGCUUAAUGAAUUUCCUCAAAAUUGAUGUGCUUUGUGAAUAGUUGGAGCCACCUGGUGGACAAAUACCGCAACUGCAACUGUUAAGGUUCCAAAUUGCUGCACAGCGCAUGCCUCAGCAAAGGAAAAUACUCCCAAGCUGGUGAACUGAAUGUUGCAGUUGCUUUGCACACUGUUAAUGACGACUGUGUGCUGUUUUCUUUGUACCAGUUGCCAGAAUAAAGAGGGAGCCCAGAGUAAGGGCAAGU